UGGGGAAUUUUGGACAAUGGGCGAAAGCCUGAUCCAGCAAUGCCGCGUGUGUGAAGAAGGCCUUCGGGUUGUAAAGCACUUUUGUCCGGAAAGAAAUCCUUGGCUCUAAUACAGUCGGGGGAUGACGGUACCGGAAGAAUAAGCACCGGCUAACUACGUGCCAGCAGCCGCGGUAAUACGUAGGGUGCAAGCGUUAAUCGGAAUUACUGGGCGUAAAGCGUGCGCAGGCGGUUUGCUAAGACCGAUGUGAAAUCCCCGGGCUCAACCUGGGAACUGCAUUGGUGACUGGCAGGCUAGAGUAUGGCAGAGGGGGGUAGAAUUCCACGUGUAGCAGUGAAAUGCGUAGAGAUGUGGAGGAAUACCGAUGGCGAAGGCAGCCCCCUGGGCCAAUACUGACGCUCAUGCACGAAAGCGUGGGGAGCAAAACAGGAUUAGAUACCCUGGUAGUCCACGCCCUAAAACGAUGUCAACUAGUUGUUGGGGAUUCAUUCCUUAGUAACGUAGCUAACGCGUGAAGUUGACCGCCUGGGGAGUACGGUCGCAAGAUUAAAACUUAAAGGAAUUGACGGGGUCAUAGCUGUUUCCU
This 586-nucleotide ribosomal RNA is filed under the name uncultured bacterium. Its description in RNAcentral is "partial 16S ribosomal RNA". It matches the Rfam family "Bacterial small subunit ribosomal RNA", at positions 355 to 1375 of the family's 1533-position model. The record is from RNAcentral.